UACGUAGGGUGCGAGCGUUGUCCGGAAUUAUUGGGCGUAAAGAGCUCGUAGGCGGUGUGUCACGUCGGCCGUGAAAACCUGCAGCUUAACUGUGGGCGUGCGGUCGAUACGGGCAUCACUGGAGUUCGGCAGGGGAGACUGGAAUUCCUGGUGUAGCGGUGAAAUGCGCAGAUAUCAGGAGGAACACCGGUGGCGAAGGCGGGUCUCUGGGCCGAUACUGACGCUGAUGCGCGAAAGCCAGGGGAGCAAACGGG
This 254-nucleotide ribosomal RNA is filed under the name uncultured bacterium. Its description in RNAcentral is "partial 16S ribosomal RNA". It matches the Rfam family "Bacterial small subunit ribosomal RNA", at positions 524 to 776 of the family's 1533-position model. The record is from RNAcentral.